RNAcentral lists this unclassified non-coding RNA (343 nucleotides) under soil metagenome. Its description in RNAcentral is "partial contains 5.8S ribosomal RNA, internal transcribed spacer 2, and large subunit ribosomal RNA". The stretch from base 1 to 120 matches the Rfam family "5.8S ribosomal RNA", at positions 35 to 154 of the family's 154-position model. The record is from RNAcentral.
GAUGAAGAACGCAGCGAAAUGCGAUACGUAAUGUGAAUUGCAGAAUUCAGUGAAUCAUCGAGUCUUUGAACGCACAUUGCGCCCCCUGGUAUUCCGGGGGGCAUGCCUGUCCGAGCGUCAUUGCUGCCCUCAAGCACGGCUUGUGUGUUGGGCCUCCGUCCUCCUCCCGGGGGACGGGCCCGAAAGGCAGCGGCGGCACCGCGUCCGGUCCUCGAGCGUAUGGGGCUUCGUCACCCGCUCUUGUAGGCCCGGCCGGCGCUUGCCGACACAUCAAUCUUUUUUCCAGGUUGACCUCGGAUCAGGUAGGGAUACCCGCUGAACUUAAGCAUAUAAUAACGGAGGA